Molecule: non-coding RNA, 174 nt
Organism: Zobellia galactanivorans
Lineage: Bacteria; Pseudomonadati; Bacteroidota; Flavobacteriia; Flavobacteriales; Flavobacteriaceae
Source: Rfam
GUAAUCGUGAGGUUACAUCUGGAGGAAGCGACCCUACAAAACUUGGUACCGACGAACAGGAAUCGCAUAUGAGGCAUAAAUGCACGGGUAAGUAAGCAGAUCAUUAUAAAGCCCAUAAGAAUACCAAAAGUGAACUAAUGUAGAUGCGGCAGGAAUCAAGUGAAAGAAGAUGUU